UGAGAAACACUUAAAAUCUUAGAAAACAGCACUGAUCGACAGUAGAUCUUAGAGAGAGACAAAUAAAACCUCGAAGUCUUAGGGUUUCAGAGAAAAACCUAGAGAAAUGAGAAAGGCCUAGAACGGGCUGGCCCUGAGUCGAAGAUGGACUCACAAGGCUAGAACUCAACGAAAAUGAGCCGAAAAUGGUCAUAGAACUUGAAUCGGACAGGUUCUGAGCUGGGGUCUUCAAGUUCAGACCUUGAAUCUUCAUGCAAAAGGAGGAUAAGGAUGAGUGUGGUUAGAUAUAGGGUACACAGGGCCUGGGAAGCCAUGAUUUCCGGUGGAACAGGGUCGGAGAUCAGCAGAAAGGGCUAGGGUUUCAGAGGGGGCUUGAGAGCAUUUUUGAGAGAUGAGGGGAUACAAGGGAG
This 410-nucleotide long non-coding RNA is filed under the name Nicotiana benthamiana. RNAcentral describes it as "long non-coding RNA (NBEN_LNC013282)". Lineage: Eukaryota; Viridiplantae; Streptophyta; Magnoliopsida; Solanales; Solanaceae. The record is from RNAcentral.